UACAGAGGGUGCAAGCGUUGUUCGGAAUUAUUGGACGUAAAGCGCGUGUAGGCGGCUUUGCAAGUCGGGUGUGAAAGCCCUCAGCUCAACUGAGGAAGUGCGCCCGAAACUGCAGAGCUUGAGUGCCGGAGAGGGUGGCGGAAUUCCCCAAGUAGAGGUGAAAUUCGUAGAUAUGGGGAGGAACACCGGUGGCGAAGGCGGCCACCUGGACGGUAACUGACGCUGAGACGCGAAAGCGUGGGGAGCAAACAGG
Molecule: ribosomal RNA, 253 nt
Filed under: uncultured bacterium
Lineage: Bacteria
Description: partial 16S ribosomal RNA
Rfam family: Bacterial small subunit ribosomal RNA
Source: RNAcentral